RNAcentral lists this ribosomal RNA (497 nucleotides) under uncultured bacterium. RNAcentral describes it as "partial 16S ribosomal RNA". It matches the Rfam family "Bacterial small subunit ribosomal RNA", at positions 28 to 507 of the family's 1533-position model. The record is from RNAcentral.
GAUGAACGCUGGCGGCGUGCCUAAUACAUGCAAGUCGAGCGAACGGACGAGAAGCUUGCUUCUCUGAUGUUAUCGGCGGACGGGUGAGUAACACGUGGAUAACCUACCUAUAAGACUGGGAUAACUUCGGGAAACCGGAGCUAAUACCGGAUGAGAUUUUGAACCGCAGGGUUCAAAAGUGAAAGACGGUCUUGCUGUCACUUAUAGAUGGAUCCGCGCUGCAUUAGCUAGUUGGUAAGGUAACGGCUUACCAAGGCAACGAUGCAUAGCCGACCUGAGAGGGUGAUCGGCCACACUGGAACUGAGACACGGUCCAGACUCCUACGGGAGGCAGCAGUAGGGAAUCUUCCGCAAUGGGCGAAAGCCUGACGGAGCAACGCCGCGUGAGUGAUGAAGGUCUUCGGAUCGUAAAACUCUGUUAUUAGGGAAGAACAUAUGUGUAAGUAACUGUGCACAUCUUGACGGUACCUAAUCAGAAAGCCACGGCUAACUACGUG